Molecule: long non-coding RNA, 1192 nt
Filed under: Parus major (Great Tit)
Lineage: Eukaryota; Metazoa; Chordata; Aves; Passeriformes; Paridae
Description: lncRNA (ENSPMJG00000007521.1)
Source: RNAcentral
UCUCUCCUCAAUACUGGCCUACAUGAGCAAGAGGAUGGGUGGUGCCCACAUCUCACUUUCCAUGUGACAUUCUCACUGUCAUUUCCAGAGGAAAGAACAGACUGGGGCUUCCUCUCUCUAUUCUGAUCCUUUGGGAGGGGGAUUUUUAAAUUUUUUUUCCUGAAGCAUGUUUUUCUCUUGCCAAAAGUUAACUUUUCAUGUCUGGGUGGUCAGAAGGUAUCUUAAUUCCCCAUCCAGCACCACUUCCUUGGCAUUGUGCAAUGACCUCUCUGAGAAAUGUCAGUUCCAGGAUGUCCCAGGAGCUGACCUGACAAUGGAUAGGAGGGAAGGCAUCAGGACCCAUCAUUUUCUGUCUUUGGUGACAACAUAAAUGUUUGAUAGAAAUGCUGGGAUAAUUUGGGAUAAUUCCUCCUCACUGAUUUCUCUUUGCUAGCGUGUCUGCUGCUCACAUUUAAUUCUCAUGACCUAUAAAAUCAACACUGGAUUGUUUUGUUUCCUGUAGUAUCUAUUAACACUCUGGCUAUCAUUAGGUCAAAUUUAAUGGGCUGUGCAGGGCCUGAUUGUGCCUGGUUUUGAGGGAAAACCUGGAAACUGCCACAGAUUUAGGCAGGUUCUUGCUUUAUGAAUCCAGGUUUGUUCUUCACUGGUGAAACUACCAGUACUUUGGGAGUUCUGUAAGCACAGAGGUUUUCUUUUUUUCUCUUAUUUCUUUCCUGUCUGAAAUAGCAGUAUUUUUCUCCUUAUAUCUGAUUUAUUUAUUUAUUUAUUUAUUUAUUAAACUUUUACGUAAUUGCUUUCUGGUUUAAUCAACUUCUCCCUACAUUUGUAUUCCAUACCUUCAAAUGAAGCAUGGUCUGCCAUCCCAAAGCCCAGUUCUGGAAACAUCUGAUUAUUUAUUUUUCUUAGGAGAUUGAUAUAGAAUUGAGUUGUUUUAAGCAGCUGGUGAUUUUAAUGAAUAACAUCCAGCUCUGGACAAAUAUUAAUAUUGUAGGUGCUUCAAAUUUAGAGCGGAUAUAUUUUCCAUUUAAGUUCAUUUUGGGGCAUAAUAACACUUGUUUCUAGGAUAUAAUACUUGUUUUUAGGAUAUUCCUCAAAACACCCAUAAAACUGUCCUGAUGUUUUGUGUUAGGUCAGAAAAAAAAUGAGUUACAAAGAGAAUAAACACCCAACCCACUGAAUUUGGUUGAAUUUG